UAGGGAAUCUUCCACAAUGGACGCAAGUCUGAUGGAGCAACGCCGCGUGAGUGAAGAAGGCUUUCGGGNCGUAAAAUCUCUGUUAUUGAAGAAGAACGUGUGUGACAGUAACUGGUCAUGCAGUGACGGUAUUCAAUCAGAAAGUCACGGCUAACUACGUGCCAGCAGCCGCGGUAAUACGUAGGUGGCAAGCGUUGUCCGGAUUUAUUGGGCGUAAAGCGAGUGCAGG
Molecule: ribosomal RNA, 229 nt
Filed under: uncultured bacterium
Lineage: Bacteria
Description: partial 16S ribosomal RNA
Rfam family: Bacterial small subunit ribosomal RNA
Source: RNAcentral